GUGGCUGUAGUUCAGUUGGUUAGAGCGUCAGAUUGUGGUUCUGAAUGUCGUGGGUUCGAGUCCCAUCUGCCACC
Molecule: non-coding RNA, 74 nt
Organism: Bacteroides uniformis CAG:3
Lineage: Bacteria; Pseudomonadati; Bacteroidota; Bacteroidia; Bacteroidales; Bacteroidaceae
Source: Rfam